UACGGGGGGGGCAAGCGUUGUUCGGAAUUACUGGGCGUAAAGGGUUCGUAGGUGGCUCGCUAAGUCAGACGUGAAAUCCCUCAGCUUAACUGGGGAACUGCGUCUGAGACUGGCGAGCUUGAGUGCAGGAGAGGAACGCGGAAUUCCAGGUGUAGCGGUGAAAUGCGUAGAUAUCUGGAGGAACACCGGUGGCGAAGGCGGCGUUCUGGACUGCAACUGACACUGAGGAACGAAAGCCAGGGGAGCGAACGGG
This 253-nucleotide ribosomal RNA is filed under the name uncultured bacterium. RNAcentral's name for it is "partial 16S ribosomal RNA". It matches the Rfam family "Bacterial small subunit ribosomal RNA", at positions 524 to 776 of the family's 1533-position model. The record is from RNAcentral.